Molecule: ribosomal RNA, 1388 nt
Filed under: Klebsiella pneumoniae
Lineage: Bacteria; Pseudomonadati; Pseudomonadota; Gammaproteobacteria; Enterobacterales; Enterobacteriaceae
Description: bacterial SSU rRNA
Rfam family: Bacterial small subunit ribosomal RNA
Source: RNAcentral
AGCGGUAGCACAGAGAGCUUGCUCUCGGGUGACGAGCGGCGGACGGGUGAGUAAUGUCUGGGAAACUGCCUGAUGGAGGGGGAUAACUACUGGAAACGGUAGCUAAUACCGCAUAAUGUCGCAAGACCAAAGUGGGGGACCUUCGGGCCUCAUGCCAUCAGAUGUGCCCAGAUGGGAUUAGCUAGUAGGUGGGGUAACGGCUCACCUAGGCGACGAUCCCUAGCUGGUCUGAGAGGAUGACCAGCCACACUGGAACUGAGACACGGUCCAGACUCCUACGGGAGGCAGCAGUGGGGAAUAUUGCACAAUGGGCGCAAGCCUGAUGCAGCCAUGCCGCGUGUGUGAAGAAGGCCUUCGGGUUGUAAAGCACUUUCAGCGGGGAGGAAGGCGUUAAGGUUAAUAACCUUGUCGAUUGACGUUACCCGCAGAAGAAGCACCGGCUAACUCCGUGCCAGCAGCCGCGGUAAUACGGAGGGUGCAAGCGUUAAUCGGAAUUACUGGGCGUAAAGCGCACGCAGGCGGUCUGUCAAGUCGGAUGUGAAAUCCCCGGGCUCAACCUGGGAACUGCAUUCGAAACUGGCAGGCUAGAGUCUUGUAGAGGGGGGUAGAAUUCCAGGUGUAGCGGUGAAAUGCGUAGAGAUCUGGAGGAAUACCGGUGGCGAAGGCGGCCCCCUGGACAAAGACUGACGCUCAGGUGCGAAAGCGUGGGGAGCAAACAGGAUUAGAUACCCUGGUAGUCCACGCCGUAAACGAUGUCGAUUUGGAGGUUGUGCCCUUGAGGCGUGGCUUCCGGAGCUAACGCGUUAAAUCGACCGCCUGGGGAGUACGGCCGCAAGGUUAAAACUCAAAUGAAUUGACGGGGGCCCGCACAAGCGGUGGAGCAUGUGGUUUAAUUCGAUGCAACGCGAAGAACCUUACCUGGUCUUGACAUCCACAGAACUUUCCAGAGAUGGAUUGGUGCCUUCGGGAACUGUGAGACAGGUGCUGCAUGGCUGUCGUCAGCUCGUGUUGUGAAAUGUUGGGUUAAGUCCCGCAACGAGCGCAACCCUUAUCCUUUGUUGCCAGCGGUUAGGCCGGGAACUCAAAGGAGACUGCCAGUGAUAAACUGGAGGAAGGUGGGGAUGACGUCAAGUCAUCAUGGCCCUUACGACCAGGGCUACACACGUGCUACAAUGGCAUAUACAAAGAGAAGCGACCUCGCGAGAGCAAGCGGACCUCAUAAAGUAUGUCGUAGUCCGGAUUGGAGUCUGCAACUCGACUCCAUGAAGUCGGAAUCGCUAGUAAUCGUAGAUCAGAAUGCUACGGUGAAUACGUUCCCGGGCCUUGUACACACCGCCCGUCACACCAUGGGAGUGGGUUGCAAAAGAAGUAGGUAGCUUAACCUUCGG